This 253-nucleotide ribosomal RNA is filed under the name uncultured bacterium. Its description in RNAcentral is "partial 16S ribosomal RNA". It matches the Rfam family "Bacterial small subunit ribosomal RNA", at positions 524 to 776 of the family's 1533-position model. The record is from RNAcentral.
UACGUAGGUGGCAAGCGUUAUCCGGAUUUACUGGGUGUAAAGGGCGUGUAGCCGGGCUGACAAGUCAGAUGUGAAAUCCGGGGGCUCAACCCCCGAACUGCAUUUGAAACUGUUGGUCUUGAGUAUCGGAGAGGCAGGCGGAAUUCCUAGUGUAGCGGUGAAAUGCGUAGAUAUUAGGAGGAACACCAGUGGCGAAGGCGGCCUGCUGGAUGACAACUGACGGUGAGGCGCGAAAGCGUGGGGAGCAAACAGG